UGGGGAAUAUUGCACAAUGGGGGAAACCCUGAUGCAGCGACGCCGCGUGAGUGAAGAAGUAUUUCGGUAUGUAAAGCUCUAUCAGCAGGGAAGAAAUUGACGGUACCUGACUAAGAAGCCCCGGCUAACUACGUG
RNAcentral lists this ribosomal RNA (135 nucleotides) under uncultured bacterium. RNAcentral's name for it is "partial 16S rRNA". It matches the Rfam family "Bacterial small subunit ribosomal RNA", at positions 355 to 507 of the family's 1533-position model. The record is from RNAcentral.